This 255-nucleotide ribosomal RNA is filed under the name uncultured bacterium. RNAcentral's name for it is "partial 16S ribosomal RNA". It matches the Rfam family "Bacterial small subunit ribosomal RNA", at positions 793 to 1055 of the family's 1533-position model. The record is from RNAcentral.
GUCCACGCCGUAAACGAUGGAUACUAGCUGUUGGUGGCAACAUCAGUGGCUAAGCGAAAGUGAUAAGUAUCCCACCUGGGGAGUACGUUCGCAAGAAUGAAACUCAAAGGAAUUGACGGGGGCCCGCACAAGCGGUGGAGCAUGUGGUUUAAUUCGAUGAUACGCGAGGAACCUUACCAAGGCUUAAAUGUAGUUUGACCGGAUUGGAAACAGUCUUUUCGCAAGACAAAUUACAAGGUGCUGCAUGGUUGUCGU